AGGAUGAACGCUAGCUACAGGCUUAACACAUGCAAGUCGAGGGGCAUCAGGGCGAUAGCUUGCUAUUGCCGCUGGCGACCGGCGCACGGGUGAGUAACGCGUAUCCAACCUCCCCCUUAGUAGAGGAUAGCCCGGCGAAAGUCGGAUUAAUACUCUAUGUUCUUCAAUGCGGACAUCUAACUUGAAGCAAAGAUUGAUCGCUAAGGGAUGGGGAUGCGUCUGAUUAGCUUGUCGGCGGGGUAACGGCCCACCGAGGCGACGAUCAGUAGGGGUUCUGAGAGGAAGGUCCCCCACAUUGGUACUGAGACACGGACCAAACUCCUACGGGAGGCAGCAGUGAGGAAUAUUGGUCAAUGGGCGUAGGCCUGAACCAGCCAAGUAGCGUGCAGGGAAUGACUGCCCUAUGGGUUGUAAACUGCUUUUAUGCGGGAAUAAAGUCAGGUACGUGUACCUGUUUGUAUGUACCGCAUGAAUAAGGACCGGCUAAUUCCGUGCCAGCCGCAGC
This 505-nucleotide ribosomal RNA is filed under the name uncultured bacterium. RNAcentral describes it as "bacterial SSU rRNA". It matches the Rfam family "Bacterial small subunit ribosomal RNA", at positions 26 to 518 of the family's 1533-position model. The record is from RNAcentral.